RNAcentral lists this ribosomal RNA (467 nucleotides) under uncultured bacterium. RNAcentral describes it as "partial 16S ribosomal RNA". It matches the Rfam family "Bacterial small subunit ribosomal RNA", at positions 28 to 506 of the family's 1533-position model. The record is from RNAcentral.
GACGAACUCUGGCGGCGUGCUUAACACAUGCAAGUCGAACGGAAAGGCCCUGCUUUUGUGGGGUGCUCGAGUGGCGAACGGGUGAGUAACACGUGAGUAACCUGCCCUUGACUUUGGGAUAACUUCAGGAAACUGGGGCUAAUACCGGAUAGGAGCUCCUGCUGCAUGGUGGGGGUUGGAAAGUUUCGGCGGUUGGGGAUGGACUCGCGGCUUAUCAGCUUGUUGGUGGGGUAGUGGCUUACCAAGGCUUUGACGGGUAGCCGGCCUGAGAGGGUGACCGGCAAAAUGGGGAAGGAGAUACGGCCCAAACUCCUACGGGGGGAAGCGGGGGGGAAUAUUGCAAAAUGGGCGGAAGCGUGAGGCAGAAACCCCGGGGGCGGGAUGACGGCCUUGGGGUUGUAAACGGCUUUCGCCUGGGACGAAGGGGGGGUGAGGGUAAGGGGAAAAGAAACACCGGAAAAAUACGG